AGGGACAAUGCCGCUCGAUUUCUCGGCACAUGAGUCUUGCCAAUGUUGCCAGCAACGUAAAAAACGUAGUUCUUUCUUUAUAGCUACAAACUGCUAUGCCGCGAUCCCCUACUCUUACCCCGCCAGUUCCGUCCCUCCGGUGGCCAGGAAAACCUUUUGCCGACCAUCGUUUACCAGAGACUUCAAACUUCUGCUAUUCCGGUUCAUUUGAGCGAGUGUGCGCUAGAUGACGGCUGUCCACUCCAGGCGCCCGACCGGCUGACAUCGCGAACUUCCCGCCGGAUUCUGCACGCGGGGCCACGAUGCCAUGAUGCCACGAUGCUCCUCUCGGGACAUGAUUCUGCGCGCAAGGCUGUGGUCUUUGGCCUGUGCGACCUUUGAGUCCAGCCAUUGCCAUGGUCCUCUUCCUUGCGUCCCACGGUACCUACUCCGCGGGUGAUUCCUCCGAAGCUCCUCGUCCGUUCUGGAGUUCCAAGGGAUAUGUUCCUGGCUGGAUUGUGGCAACCACUGGCUGUCUUGCUGCUGGCCAUAGACAUUAUGUCGCUGCUAUAUCGCUAUGGGCUUCAGCUUCGAGACGCAGGACUUAUUUCCCCACGCAAGACCGAAUCCCAGUCAGACAGAAUCGUAAUCCAGCAGGACAGAAGCGAUCCUUUGCAAGAGCCCAAAUCUAACAAGCCGCCGCAUCUUUUGACUUGGCCAUCGACAACUAUCUCAAGGACUUUGGCCAUGGCAACCAAGGAGCAGCUGCGCUGUCUACUAGAC
Molecule: unclassified non-coding RNA, 762 nt
Filed under: Drosophila pseudoobscura pseudoobscura
Lineage: Eukaryota; Metazoa; Arthropoda; Insecta; Diptera; Drosophilidae
Description: GA32248
Source: RNAcentral